Molecule: ribosomal RNA, 325 nt
Filed under: uncultured eukaryote
Lineage: Eukaryota
Description: partial 18S ribosomal RNA
Rfam family: Eukaryotic small subunit ribosomal RNA
Source: RNAcentral
CCCUUAGAUGUUCUGGGCUGCACGCGCGCUACACUGACACACGCAACGAGUCUCCUGCCCUGACAGGGUCGGGUAAUCAUUUGAGUGUGUGUCGUGAUGGGGAUAGAGUAUUGCAAUUAUUGCUCUUGAACGAGGAAUUCCUAGUAAGCACAAGUCAGCAGCUUGUGCUGAUUACGUCCCUGCCCUUUGUACACACCGCCCAUCGCUACUACCGAUUGGGAAAAUUUUAGAGAGUCCUGGACUGAUGAUUGUUCGGCUUCACGGCCUUACUCUCGUCGGGAAAGAAUUCGAUAAUAUUUUUCUAGAGGAAGUAAAAGUCGUAACA